UACGUAGGCAGCAAGCGUUGUUCGGAAUUACUGGGCGUAAAGAGUGUGUAGGCGGUGUCGUAAGUUUGGCGUGAAAUCUCCCUGGCUUAACCGGGAGAGUGCAUUUGAGACUGUCAACCUGGAGGGCAGCAGAGGAGCGUGGAAUUCCGGGUGGAGUGGUGAAAUGCGUAGAGAUCCGGAGGAACACCAGAGGCGAAAGCGGCGCUCUGGGCUGCACCUGACGCUGAACUGCGAAAGCCAGGGGAGCGAACGGG
This 254-nucleotide ribosomal RNA is filed under the name uncultured bacterium. RNAcentral describes it as "partial 16S ribosomal RNA". It matches the Rfam family "Bacterial small subunit ribosomal RNA", at positions 524 to 776 of the family's 1533-position model. The record is from RNAcentral.